Strigops habroptila (Kakapo) is the source of this 1981-nucleotide long non-coding RNA. Lineage: Eukaryota; Metazoa; Chordata; Aves; Psittaciformes; Psittacidae. The record is from Ensembl.
CUGUUCAUCUUUUAUUAAUAUGUUGUCUUUCUCAUUUCAGUCACAGCAUAUUCACUGAUUUCAUUAUGGGAAUGGUCGAUCAUGACAAGAAUAAUCUUUUACACAGAAAUAGAUUGUUUUAACAAAAUGGUGCAUUUCCCCCAAUUUUAUUUUUAGACUAGAAUGACUUAAUUAGUUUGGAUUUUCCCUUCUUCUAUUCCAGUGGUUCUUGUGAUUAAGACAUUCAGUUAAAAAUUACUAUGACUCAUCAAACAUACCCAUACUGGAAUGGUUAUUGACUUCUCAAACAUAGCUAGAGCUCUGUUUGGAUUAAAUUAUGAUCUUCUUAACUUAUAAUUAACUUAGUAGAAAAUGCACUUUAUCAGGAAAGAUCCCUCAAGGAAUAUUUAAAUAAAAGUUUAUGCAACCAAUAGAACAGAUUUGGUGGUCAGAUGCCAUGUUACUGUUCUGAAACAAGUUAUAACUCCUACACUCAAGUAUUAUCACUCAUUAAAAAUUCAGUCUACACCCUGGCUGAAAGCACUCUACCAAUAACAUAACAAUGCAGAUUGAAUGGGCAUGCCCAAGUGUUACCACUUGGGAAUUAUUAUCCAGAUGUCCUACAAAACAAAGUCUGGAUGGAUACAGCAGUGUCUGUUUUAAAUCAGGAACUACACUUCCUACAUUUUAGCUGAAAACAGCUAAAAUCUCACAAUUGCAGCCCUGUUAUAAAACUGUUAAACAGGCACAAGUUACUGGCUGAGUGUCCAGUUUUGCCCUCCUGGAGCAAUGGAUCUUUCUAGGGUUGGAUAUCCUGCAAGACCAAACCUCAAGGCAAGACAGGAUUCAGGCAAGAGAAACAGUGAGAACACAGGAAAAGAGAUUACAAAUUUCUUUUAACAUUUAAUUCACACUUUUAACAUUUAAUCUUCUGUUAACAGCCCAUGUGUGUAUGAAUCAUUGUAUUUAAAGAGUGAGAGUUUGUGGCGCUCUCACAAUUACAAACCUUUAGUCCGAUAAAGGGACCCUGCUUGGCUACUUACUGCAUACUCCAAUAUAUCUUCCAUACCCACCAGCCCUGUACAGAUGCCUCAGGGCAUCUCAGAUGGUUUUAGUUACCUGUGUGAUUACAGUCAGUGCUCAGAUGCAAACACAUGUUUCUAUUCCAUCAGACUCAAAAUAUAAUAAUAAUUUGAUGUAAUUCCCUUUCUCAAAACUGAUUUUUAUUAUUAUUCUUUUUUAUUUUUUUAUAGAUCCACAGCCUAAUAAAAUCCAAGUUAAGGUCUAUCCUUUGGAGCCUGCAGCGAAAUCUUAGAUGGGUUGCAGUGAAUUUUACACCAAGUACAUUUGAACAGUCACCUGGGAAUUCACAAACAAGGUGCGACUCAAAAAGCAAUAAGGGGAAGGGCCAAAAUGUUUGCCAUGGGUAAAAUCUAAUAACAGGGGGUCAGUAAUACUUUGGGAAAAAUAAAAUGGCUUGUCCCUGAGGCAGUGAAAGCAUCAGACAGCACCAGAACUAGUUUGUAAUGCACCAGCUCCAAAUGAACACAGUUGUGUCUCAGAUUUGAUAAGCAAAGUGUAGGAGCACCCACUGCAGUUGUAGAUUGAACCAUCACACUAGUUGCAGGGUUGCUACUAUGGAGCUACCAUAAAAGCCUGGUCCAAACUGACGGUGCUGCAGGUUUAACCGCCUUCAAGUACUGUGAAUUAUCUGUGUGAUGAGGAUCAAACAGUUACAGUGCUAUAGAUAAGUACGUCUAAAUCCAGCUAGGAAGUUUCUGAUACUCAGUGAUCUGUAUUAUGCCUUCCCAUGAGGGUCCACAUGCAAUCCUCACAGCAGGAGCUUAGAGACUAAUUUACCCUGUCCCCCACAGAGAAAACCUUCUUUAAAAACAGGGCUGAAACACACCAGUGAAACUCUUCUCUGAUUCAUGUAGAUUUAAGUCUGAUUCCUGGAGACUAUCAGUCUCUAAUAGUAUUCACUCAGCAGCACCAACUUCAC